This 75-nucleotide transfer RNA is filed under the name Parabacteroides sp. RNAcentral describes it as "tRNA-Glu". It matches the Rfam family "tRNA". Rfam says of the family: Transfer RNA (tRNA) molecules are approximately 80 nucleotides in length. Their secondary structure includes four short double-helical elements and three loops (D, anti-codon, and T loops). RNAcentral also lists the same sequence under 6 other names. The record is from RNAcentral. Lineage: Bacteria; Pseudomonadati; Bacteroidota; Bacteroidia; Bacteroidales; Tannerellaceae.
GGCUCCAUGGUCAAGCGGUUAAGACACCGCCCUUUCACGGCGGUAACCCGGGUUCGAUUCCCGGUGGAGUCACCA